Molecule: ribosomal RNA, 447 nt
Filed under: uncultured bacterium
Lineage: Bacteria
Description: bacterial SSU rRNA
Rfam family: Bacterial small subunit ribosomal RNA
Source: RNAcentral
AUUGAACGCUGGCGGAAUGCUUUACACAUGCAAGUCGGGCGGCAGCGCGGGGGCAACCCUGGCGGCGAGCGGCGAACGGGUGAGUAACACAUCGGAACGUACCCUGUCGUGGGGGAUAACGAAUCGAAAGAUUCGCUAAUACCGCAUACGACCUGAGGGUGAAAGCGGGGGAUCGCAAGACCUCGCGCGAGAGGAGCGGCCGAUGGCGGAUUAGCUAGUUGGUGGGGUAAAGGCCCACCAAGGCGACGAUCCGUAGCGGGUCUGAGAGGACGGCCCGCCACACUGGGACUGAGACACGGCCCAGACUCCUACGGGAGGCAGCAGUGGGGAAUUUUGGACAAUGGAGGCAACCCUGAUCCAGCCAUUCCGCGUGAGUGAAGAAGGCCUGGUUGUAAGACUCUUUCGGUCAGGAACGAAACGGCGGGACGUCUAACAUAGCCUGUCAAU